RNAcentral lists this ribosomal RNA (465 nucleotides) under uncultured bacterium. Its description in RNAcentral is "partial 16S ribosomal RNA". It matches the Rfam family "Bacterial small subunit ribosomal RNA", at positions 338 to 795 of the family's 1533-position model. The record is from RNAcentral.
CCUACGGGAGACAGCAGUGGGGAAUAUUGCGCAAUGGGUGAAAGCCUGACGCAGCGACGCCGCGUGAGGGAUGAAGGUCUUCGGAUCGUAAACCUCUGUCAGCAGGGAAGAACGGUCACUGUGCUAAUCAGCAGUGAAUUGACGGUACCUGCAAAGGAAGCACCGGCUAACUCCGUGCCAGCAGCCGCGGUAAUACGGAGGGUGCGAGCGUUAAUCGGAAUUACUGGGCGUAAAGCGCUCGUAGGCGGUAUGUCAAGUCAAGGGUGAAAUCCCCGCGCUCAACGUGGGAACUGCCUUUGAAACUGGCAAACUGGAGUGUGUGAGAGGAUAGUGGAAUUCCAGGUGUAGGAGUGAAAGCCGUAGAUAUCUGGAGGAACAUCAGUGGCGAAGGCGACUAUCUGGCACAUAACUGACGCUGAGGAGCGAAAGCGUGGGUAGCAAACAGGAUUAGAUACCCGAGUAGUC